RNAcentral lists this ribosomal RNA (1134 nucleotides) under Triticum aestivum (bread wheat). RNAcentral describes it as "partial small subunit ribosomal RNA". The record is from RNAcentral. Lineage: Eukaryota; Viridiplantae; Streptophyta; Magnoliopsida; Poales; Poaceae.
AUGCCGGCGCCGAUGCCACCGUCGCAGCAGCUUGACAUGUGGAGCGCCAUCCAGGCCCCGGUCGACGACGACUGCGCCACCAAGGCCCUGCACACGCCGGCUAAGGCCAAGGCCGGCUACCCGGUGCCGACGGCGCGGCGGUCCAUGAGCCACGAGAGCCUCAGCCUCUGCACCGAGAGCCUCGGCUGCGAGACCGGCACCCGCGGCGACUUCCUCGACCUGGCGUCCCUCCUCUACGCACCGCCGCCGACUUCCCACCAGACCGACGAUGCCGUCGCCGCCGACUUCUUCUCGCCGCUGGCAUUGCAAGAAGACGACGAGGAGGAGGAGGAGGUGACCAUUAGGGAGGUACAGUACCACCGCGCUCGGCCGCAGCGCGCGUUCCCGCCUCCGCUGACGUCCAUGUCGCGCCGCCGCGGCGACGAUGCCGGGCCGUGCCUGCGGGUGCGCUCGCUCCGCCGCGACGGGCGCCUCGUGCUGGAGGCCGUGGCCGCGAAGCCCCAGGGGUACCUCCAUGCGCAGCGCGAGGACGGCCGCCUCAAGCUCUGCUUCGUGGACUGCUCCUCUGCCUCGGCCUCUGUUCGCGAACAUGAGAAGCAGAGCAUGGUGCAACCGCAGCAUGGAAACCAGAAGCUGAGCAUGGUGCAACAGCCACAUCAUGACGAGGAGGAGGAGGAGGAGGAGGAGGAGGAGGACGUGGAGGUGGUUGACAGGGGCACGGUGGUGGAGGUGGUGGCGGCGUCCGGCAAGGCGCAGCGGUGCUCCAGGAUAGUCAUCAACAAGUUCGUGGGCGGCGCGCCGGCCACCGACGACCUGAACGCGACCCCAUUCCCAUCGCGCGGCUACAGAGCUUCUGAGGAAGAAGCCGCUCAGCCAGCGACGCCGGGGCUGCGCCGGGUGCCGUCGUCCACGACCACGCUGGCUGCCGCGGUGGCCGCCGCGUCCACGGGCAUGCAGUCCGGCCAGGAGGACGAGGAAGAGGCUGACCAGAAGGGCGAGGAGGAGAGCGCGCCGCUGCUGUUCACGUCGCGGGUUGGGGACAGGCAGGAGCUGGUGCGGAGCGUGCGGCGGUGCCGGCAGCUCCGGCAGAGGCCGCUCUUCAUCGUCGAGCCAUACUCCAUCAUCGCCUCCUGA